Molecule: long non-coding RNA, 2019 nt
Organism: Toxotes jaculatrix (banded archerfish)
Lineage: Eukaryota; Metazoa; Chordata; Actinopteri; Toxotidae
Exons: 4
Source: RefSeq, a predicted model, not a curated record
CAUUCUCCCGUCCUAUCGUUAUCCCUCCGUGGUGAAGUUACUUCCAGGGACCGAUCACAUCGCUCGCUGGCGGACGGACCCUCCCUCGCUGUGUUUGCUGCCUGUUGCAUCGCUGUUCGUCUGCAGAAAAGGAUUUCCAUCUUGCUGUCGUCGCCUGCAGCCGAGUUUAGACGGUUGCAGCUGUUCUUAGCAGCUCCAGCGCCGGCUGCUGUGGAGCUGCUGGCAGACGCAUCCGCAUCACUUUUCAUCUGAUCCUGUUUUGCUGCAGCUCCAGUCGCUUUAUUCCCAUCCACACUGUCCAUCUUCACCAGACACAGGGUCUGCAGCAGGCCCAUGGUGUCAAAGUUCUCUCCGGAGUAUUCGCCUCGUCUCCUCAACAACUCCAACACCUGCAGGAAGGAAGACACACAACAGAACUGUACUGCACUGCACUGUGGGAUUGUUAUCGGACAGUAGUGGACAUGUUAUGGACCUACUCUAAUAACACCGUCCACAGUAAAUACAGUGUACUACAGUACACUGGCACACAAACUCACAAUACACACUCACACACCUUGAUGUAUUUGUAGGACUUCAGUUCGCUGAUGUUCUCGUUCAGGAAGAGCAGAUACAGAGAGAGAUCAUCCCACUGGCCCCCGGGGGAGGGCAGGACGCUCACUGUGGGGAGGGACUGGUAGGUUUCCAGGAAUCGGGCGUAUCCAUCGCAGAGGAGGGGGCGGAGACUGGCAUAGAUCACGGCUGGAAUCAGUGCAACGAACACGAUCAAGUUGACGAGACUUGAAAAAGAGGAGAAAAAGAAAGAGAUUGCAGUUUGAUGCAGAGAGCAGGACUAUAUUACAGUUUCAGUACAACAUGACAGGACGAAGAGAAAUCCACAUGAGGUUUCACUGGAAAACCUCAACCUGAUGGAUUUCAGGUGAACCACACACUGAACGAACCUCAAUCUAUUUCUCUAAUAACUGAACUUUGUGCUGCACAGACAAAUACCUGAGCAAAGAGAAGACUCCCACAGCGAUGAGCUUACACUGCACCUUGUCGGGGACGCUGGGGUCGAAGGCGAGAAGGCCGACACGGAGGGUGCAGCCGAACUCGUCCGUGACGGAGGCCAGGCGAAGCCUGAACUCACCUCACCAACGUGUUGUGAACGGGAACAAAGACCGAAAGGACGACGUGACAACCAACAAACUGUCUCUGAGAUCAUGUGCGUUUCAGGUGAGUGGAUGGACAUUUAGCUGUCAGGGACAGAGGGCCCCAAAACACAUCCACACAAACGAUCCACACAAAUCUCCUGUACCUGUCUGCUGUGAGCAGCCCUGAUGUGGCCAUGCGUUUGGCCAGAGUGACAGCGCGGUUGUAACACCGGUCCAACUCCUCCAUGAUGAAGCUGAGGUCCGACUGCAGGAGGGGGGCAGCAGAAAACCUCCAGAACAACGCCGGGAUGUACAUCAGCACUGCCACCAACAGCAAGAUGUAGGGGAAGAACUGGACAAACAUGUUCAGCACAAGUUUGUUAUUACUGCAUGGCAUGGCUGUCUGCAGAGCACAGUGUAAAGCUGUCGUGUUGUGUGUCACAAAGCAUUUUACCCAUAUGGUGCGUGGACAGGUUUUACCCGGCAAACUAUCCAACAAUUACACAUUUAAACCUCUAACACUGUGCAUGUGUGUGUGUGUGUGUGUGACUGUACCUUGUGAAGCCACAGAGGCAGAGUGUGUGUGUGUACCGCUGCCCAGCAGUACGAGUCCACAUAAGCAGCCUGCCUCCAUGAGAAGUUAGCAGGAGCAAAGCAGCUGAUCUGAGUACCUGAGAAACAGAGAGAGGCGGAAAACAACACCGACGCACAAAAACGUGAGAGGAGGAGAUAAGAACAGGAGCGAAGAACAAAUCAGCUGUUUUCUUAUACGGAGCUAAAAGAUGUGGGAGACUACACAUUCAACAGAUGGAACAACAAACACAACUUUCGCAACGAACCUUCUUCCUGUGGAACCAAAAAAACUCCUUCCGCCCCUCAGCAAUGCCAG